UACGUAGGUGGCAAGCGUUGUCCGGAAUUAUUGGGCGUAAAGAGCUCGUAGGCGGCUUGUUGCGUCGGUUGUGAAAGCCCGGGGCUUAACCCCGGGUCUGCAGUCGGUACGGGCAGGCUAGAGUGUGGUAGGGGAGAUCGGAAUUCCUGGUGUAGCGGUGAAAUGCGCAGAUAUCAGGAGGAACACCGGUGGCGAAGGCGGAUCUCUGGGCCAUUACUGACGCUGAGGAGCGAAAGCGUGGGGAGCGAACAGG
RNAcentral lists this ribosomal RNA (253 nucleotides) under uncultured bacterium. RNAcentral describes it as "partial 16S ribosomal RNA". It matches the Rfam family "Bacterial small subunit ribosomal RNA", at positions 524 to 776 of the family's 1533-position model. The record is from RNAcentral.